Molecule: ribosomal RNA, 1477 nt
Filed under: Lactiplantibacillus pentosus
Lineage: Bacteria; Bacillati; Bacillota; Bacilli; Lactobacillales; Lactobacillaceae
Description: bacterial SSU rRNA
Rfam family: Bacterial small subunit ribosomal RNA
Source: RNAcentral
CGGACGUGGCGGGGGUGCCUAUACAUGCAAGUCGAACGAACUCUGGUAUUGAUUGGUGCUUGCAUCAUGAUUUACAUUUGAGUGAGUGGCGAACUGGUGAGUAACACGUGGGAAACCUGCCCAGAAGCGGGGGAUAACACCUGGAAACAGAUGCUAAUACCGCAUAACAACUUGGACCGCAUGGUCCGAGUUUGAAAGAUGGCUUCGGCUAUCACUUUUGGAUGGUCCCGCGGCGUAUUAGCUAGAUGGUGGGGUAACGGCUCACCAUGGCAAUGAUACGUAGCCGACCUGAGAGGGUAAUCGGCCACAUUGGGACUGAGACACGGCCCAAACUCCUACGGGAGGCAGCAGUAGGGAAUCUUCCACAAUGGACGAAAGUCUGAUGGAGCAACGCCGCGUGAGUGAAGAAGGGUUUCGGCUCGUAAAACUCUGUUGUUAAAGAAGAACAUAUCUGAGAGUAACUGUUCAGGUAUUGACGGUAUUUAACCAGAAAGCCACGGCUAACUACGUGCCAGCAGCCGCGGUAAUACGUAGGUGGCAAGCGUUGUCCGGAUUUAUUGGGCGUAAAGCGAGCGCAGGCGGUUUUUUAAGUCUGAUGUGAAAGCCUUCGGCUCAACCGAAGAAGUGCAUCGGAAACUGGGAAACUUGAGUGCAGAAGAGGACAGUGGAACUCCAUGUGUAGCGGUGAAAUGCGUAGAUAUAUGGAAGAACACCAGUGGCGAAGGCGGCUGUCUGGUCUGUAACUGACGCUGAGGCUCGAAAGUAUGGGUAGCAAACAGGAUUAGAUACCCUGGUAGUCCAUACCGUAAACGAUGAAUGCUAAGUGUUGGAGGGUUUCCGCCCUUCAGUGCUGCAGCUAACGCAUUAAGCAUUCCGCCUGGGGAGUACGGCCGCAAGGCUGAAACUCAAAGGAAUUGACGGGGGCCCGCACAAGCGGUGGAGCAUGUGGUUUAAUUCGAAGCUACGCGAAGAACCUUACCAGGUCUUGACAUACUAUGCAAAUCUAAGAGAUUAGACGUUCCCUUCGGGGACAUGGAUACAGGUGGUGCAUGGUUGUCGUCAGCUCGUGUCGUGAGAUGUUGGGUUAAGUCCCGCAACGAGCGCAACCCUUAUUAUCAGUUGCCAGCAUUAAGUUGGGCACUCUGGUGAGACUGCCGGUGACAAACCGGAGGAAGGUGGGGAUGACGUCAAAUCAUCAUGCCCCUUAUGACCUGGGCUACACACGUGCUACAAUGGAUGGUACAACGAGUUGCGAACUCGCGAGAGUAAGCUAAUCUCUUAAAGCCAUUCUCAGUUCGGAUUGUAGGCUGCAACUCGCCUACAUGAAGUCGGAAUCGCUAGUAAUCGCGGAUCAGCAUGCCGCGGUGAAUACGUUCCCGGGCCUUGUACACACCGCCCGUCACACCAUGAGAGUUUGUAACACCCAAAGUCGGUGGGGUAACCUUUUAGGAACCAGCCGCCUAAGGGUGACAGAGUG